CGGCCAGGUGUGUCCUCCGUUAAAUCCACAGGCCUAACCUGUGGGCUGCGGAGGAUACUACCUGGCUUGGGGGUGGGAGAGGGCGGCGGUAUUCCCGGGGUAGGGGUAAAAUCCACUGAUCCCGGGAGGACCACCAGUGGCGAAGGCGGCCGCCCAGAACACGCCCGACGGUGAGGGGCGAAAGCUGGGGGAGCAAACGGGAUUAGAUACCCCGGUAGUCCCAGCCGUAAACGAUGCGGGCUAGGUGUCGGGCUGGCCACGGGCCAGCCCGGUGCCGAAGGGAAACCAUUAAGCCCGCCGCCUGGGGA
RNAcentral lists this ribosomal RNA (308 nucleotides) under uncultured archaeon. RNAcentral's name for it is "bacterial SSU rRNA". It matches the Rfam family "Archaeal small subunit ribosomal RNA", at positions 526 to 834 of the family's 1478-position model. The record is from RNAcentral.